This is a non-coding RNA of Odocoileus virginianus texanus, 602 nucleotides long. NCBI's taxonomy places the organism in Eukaryota, Metazoa, Chordata, Mammalia, Artiodactyla, Cervidae. The record is from RefSeq and is a predicted model, not a curated record.
GAUGCAAUGAUGUCUACUCAGAAUACUUGAGUAUUAAUUCUCACUAUAUUAAGAGAUGCAAUCUGACCGAUAUAUUUUGGAAUUAUCAGUUGAUCGAAUGUUCAAUGUUAUAUGCUCAUAUGAAGUAGUUAACAGAACAUCACUUAUUCAUUAAUUUCACAAGUUGUUAAGCAUCUGAUCUUUGCCACAUCACAAUACAAUGCUGAUAAUACAGAGAUUCAUGAGACAGAGUUCCUGACAUCAAAGAAGUUCCAGUUAACUGGAGAGAGAACAUACCCAGUGCUGUCUUUGCAGUGGUGUCAAUUGCUUCUCCAGCCACGCUGAGACAGAAGGAUGUUUGCCGGUGGUUGUACAGUAGCAUCAGCCCUCAGCUGAACCAGUCUGAGCCCCUGGAGGGCAAAGAAGCAUUUAAAAUCCUGAAACCCUCUGACCCUUUUUGGUGACCUGAGGUUCAUCCCAUGGAAGAAACUCCAUGACCUUGCCCACCUACCUUUAUCCCUCGGGCAGCUCUGAGGCACGUCAAUGGAUCCCAGCAUGACACAUGAAGAACUUGAAGUCAGAGGCAGUUCAUACAAGUAGUAAAUAACAAAAAAUUAAUAUGU